AUGGCUCAGGAUGAACGCUAGCGGCAGGCUUAACACAUGCAAGUCGAGGGGCAACGCGAGUAGCAAUACUUGGCGGCGACCGGCGCAAGGGUGCGUAACGCGUGAGCAACAUGCCCGUAUCAGGGGGAUAAUCCAGGGAAACUUGGUCUAAUACCCCAUAGUAAUUUUGUAAGGCAUCUUAUAAGAUUUAAAGCUUUGGUGGAUACGGAUUGGCUCGCGUGACAUUAGCUGGAUGGUAAGGUAACGGCUUACCAUGGCUAUGAUGUCUAGGGGUUCUGAGAGGAAGGUCCCCCACACUGGAACUGAGACACGGUCCAGACUCCUACGGGAGGCAGCAGUGAGGAAUAUUGGACAAUGGAUGGAAAUCUGAUCCAGCCAUGCCGCCGUGAAGGAAGAAGGUCCUAUGGAUUGUAAACUUCUUUUGUAUGGGAGCAAUAAGGCCUACGAGUAGGUUGAUGAGAGUACCAUACGAAUAAGCACCGGCUAACUCCGUGCCAGCCGCCGC
Molecule: ribosomal RNA, 505 nt
Filed under: uncultured bacterium
Lineage: Bacteria
Description: bacterial SSU rRNA
Rfam family: Bacterial small subunit ribosomal RNA
Source: RNAcentral